GACGAACGCUGGCGGCGUGCUUAACACAUGCAAGUCGAGCGGUAAGGCCCUUUCGGGGGUACACGAGCGGCGAACGGGUGAGUAACACGUGGGUGACCUGCCCUCAGCUCUGGGAUAAGCCUGGGAAACCGGGUCUAAUACCGGAUAUGACUCCAUGACGCAUGUUGUGGGGUGGAAAGCCUUGUGCGGCUGAGGAUGGGCCCGCGGCCUAUCAGCUUGUUGGUGGGGGUGAUGGCCUACCAAGGCGACGACGGGUAGCCGGCCUGAGAGGGCGACCGGCCACACUGGGACUGAGACACGGCCCAGACUCCUACGGGAGGCAGCAGUGGGGAAUCUUGCGCAAUGGGCGAAAGCCUGACGCAGCGACGCCGCGUGAGGAUGACGG
Molecule: ribosomal RNA, 385 nt
Filed under: uncultured bacterium
Lineage: Bacteria
Description: bacterial SSU rRNA
Rfam family: Bacterial small subunit ribosomal RNA
Source: RNAcentral